CUCUUCCUCCCCCAGUGUUACAUCCCCGAAACGCGGCAGCUCCGUGACUUCGUGUCUCGCCCUCCAUGCAACAGCCAGAGGUUGCAUUGCACGAUGAUCAGACACGACGAGGACCUCAUCCCUACCCCCGGGGCCUGCUACACCCUCUACCUGGAGUACCUGGGGGGCCUAGUACCUCUCCUGAAGGGCAAGAGGACCUCCAAGAUCCGGCCGGAGUUCGUCAUUUUCGAUCCUCAAGUUGACGAAGCCAUGAACAAGGAGAACGGCGACAGAUCGUGCGGAGGCGUGGGCGUGGGCGUCGGUGUGGGCGGCGUAGUGAACGGACACCCGGUUUUGAGCGAUACAUCAGACACAGAAUACGAAGAUAUGUGUGCAUCCCCGAGAUUGCAGAGACGCAGAAAACUCAAGAGAAGAAUAAGGGAACGGUUAGAGAGCGAGACAGACGAACUUGUAUAUUUGGAUACGCUUCCGGAGGUGAGUAAAAAAAAAAAAAAAAAAAAAAAAAAAAAAAAAAAAAAAAAAAAAAAUUCACGUCAGUUUUUUUUUCUUAAUGAUUCUAAAUCCCAUGAGAGAACGGGAAUAUUUAUAUUUAUACAUUUUUUUUUUUACGACGGAGAGAUAGACAAAAUGGAAGUUCAUUAUCCGGAGAUAUUAAUUAAACGAGUUCCCAUAAAUAAUAUUAAGAAUGGGAGAGUGGGAGAGCCUCAUUAGCAUGAGAUUAAGUCAUUUACAAGGAUCAGAGAAAGAGACUAGAUAAUGUAGUGUAAAGGGAAAAAUAACAAAGGA
Long non-coding RNA from Penaeus monodon (black tiger shrimp), 786 nucleotides. RefSeq lists it as uncharacterized. The record is from RefSeq and is a predicted model, not a curated record. NCBI's taxonomy places the organism in Eukaryota, Metazoa, Arthropoda, Malacostraca, Decapoda, Penaeidae. The transcript has 3 exons.